RNAcentral lists this long non-coding RNA (1233 nucleotides) under Rattus norvegicus (Norway rat). RNAcentral describes it as "long non-coding RNA NONRATT004518". Lineage: Eukaryota; Metazoa; Chordata; Mammalia; Rodentia; Muridae. The record is from RNAcentral.
ACACACACACACACACACACACACACACACACACACACACACACACACGUGUGCUAGGUAUCCCUUGGCGAAGCUUGGCAUACUGCUGCCUCUCCCCAGGUAGCAGAGCUCUCCUUGAUGCUGCAUCCACUCUGACAUCGCCACCAAGUCACUGCCUCUGCCACACUCUCGGUCUUUCUCUUUGUGGCCAACCUUGCUUCCUCUCCUUGUCCUUUUCUAUCACUGAAGGAUGGUAAAAUACUGAUACAGUCUUACUCAGUUGCCUCCACUCUGCCCUCUGUGCUACUCAAAGGGAAGAAGAUGGGUGUGACAACUCCCUCCUGCCCCUUCCUACCCAAUUCACCAGCUGUGGGGUUGUCCCAAUGGAAACCAGUCACAGAGGGACAUGUGUGCUGUGUGGUUUCAGAAAGACUGAGAGAAGAAAAUGCACUGUAGACAGUUGGGAGGAUGGUCAUGGGAAGGCCCAGUCCUUCUCCCUGGAUAGACCAUGGGGGCUGGAGUCUUGGGUAUUACCACAGAACUGCCUCCCCAAGCUGCAUAUCUACUCCUAAGCCUCCAUGUCCUUUCUUGCAGAAUCUAUUCUUUUGAAAUCACUCCCCACCGCCUGCCUGGGAGCCCUGUUCCCACAUCUGUCUCCUUUUAUUUUGUUUUGUACCCCACUAAGUUUAGUCAGGGCCAUCUGUGAAACCACAGGCUUGAAACUAUUUGUUGGGACCUGGAAAGCUCAUCAGUGAGUUCACAAUGAGUACUGAGUAUCUGACCUAUCCUCAGGACCCAUCAGUAGCCCAUUGUUCAUCAUAAAGGAGUAGAGCUGUUUGGGACACACACCCAUCUAUGAUUGAUUGACUAACAAGCCUCGUCUUGUACUGACCCACUGUACGCAACCACUGAGCCAUGAGAUCAUUGUCUGUGUCAUGGUCAGAGGACAGCAUUUCAUAGCUCUAUAGUUCUUCUACCCAACUUGCAGUUCCUGGAGUCUUACCACCUCCUCUUCUGAAUUGUUCUCUGAUGCUUAGAGAGGGCAGGUAGCUUGAACAUCUUCCUUAGGGCUGAGUACAUGGCCGUCACUUAUUCUCAAUGUCCUGAGCAGCCCCGAGUCUCUUUAUCCAUCACCUUUCAAAGUACUUUUCCCAAUUAAAACUGCGUAGCAUUUACCUAUGAGUAUAAACACAUUUAGAAGGUAGUCUGAUUCUGCAUCAACCUAAUUAAAUAAUACUAGUAAGUUCUCCCUAC